Molecule: long non-coding RNA, 1903 nt
Organism: Cavia porcellus (domestic guinea pig)
Lineage: Eukaryota; Metazoa; Chordata; Mammalia; Rodentia; Caviidae
Exons: 3
Source: RefSeq, a predicted model, not a curated record
AUCUUUUGAUUGGUCAUGUGAACAGAACCAGAUUCAGGGAUGAAAACAGGACGUUACUGAUUGGUCCAAAAGAGCACUUUUCUGAUUGGCUCUGUGUACAGUGCAUAUGUUGUCCCUGAGUUUGAAGAGUCCCUGCCCCCGGGUCCCUCACCCUGUGGCUCUGUCUGGACCGGCUAAGAGUUUGGAUGAGCCAACUACUGUGUCUUCCUGGAAAAGAGAGCCCGGUGUGGCCGCACACGUGUGUAACCCCAGCACUCGGAGGCUGAGGCAGGAGUGUCAUGCUACAGAGUGAGACCCUGUCUCAAAAAGCCAAAAACUGAAAAACUGCAAAACCCCACGAGCUCAGAACACCGACCACUGUGCAGAUUCACAGCAUCCAUCCGUCCGCUGAGGACGGGUGCCAUUGUGUGCCCGCCUCACUCGGGGCCCAGGCCGCGCAGAGGCCCAGGCAGGACUGCAGGAGCCAUGAUUUAGAGGCCGCCUGGGCAGCGCGGUCUCACAUUCUUUCAAAAAGAGAGGGAGGUUCCAGCUCUGUGCGCCCCUGCCAGCCUUGACAGGUGUUUCUGCAGGCCGAAGGGGAACUUGCAAUCCUCCUGCCCCAGUGCUGGGGUUAUAGAACUCUGUCACCAGGCUAAGCUUUGUGUGCAUUUUUAAGACAAAAAAAAAAAAAAAAGAAAGAAAGAAAAAAACUUUUCUUCAGGAGCUGGAAAGUCGUUGGUUGGAUUCUCAGCAUCACAAAAAUUAAUUUCUUCCAGUUUCAAAGUGUUUUAGCAAGACAGCAUAUCUAAAUUCUUUCCUUGUUCAUUGUCAUGUUGCUGACUUUUUAUUUCUGACAAAUUGUGUAAGAAUUUACUUGGAGCUUUUGGUAUAUUUUUCUAGGAAUUCACUUGAAGUUAUCAAUUUUUAUAUAUUCAGUAAAUAACUUUUAAUAUCGAUUGUAAAAAAAUAUCAAAUGUUGCUAUGCUUGUACAUUAACAUUUAAACUGGAUUUUGUAAGUUCUCCUUCUUUCUUGGUUAUCAUCUCUAAAAUGUAAUUAGAUCUUUUAAAAGUCAACUUUGGGACAAAUUUUGAAGAUGUUUUAUUAUCGUCUGCUUAUUAAUGGCUGAUUCAAUUGCUCUUAGUCUUACCUUUAAAAUGGGGACAGACAGGUGGCUCAUGUGUGUGAUCCUAGCCCUCAGGAACCUGAAUCAGGAAGAUCGCUGUUGGUUUGAGGCCGGCCUGGUCUACAUAGUAAGGUCAAGGCCAGUCUGAGCUACACAGCAGAGACCCCUUUGUCCUGUGGGCUUCCCCCCGCCCCAUCCUGAUUUGCUUUGGUUUUUGUCGGGGUGUGGAGUUCCACGGAGUCACCCCAGGGCCUGAUGCAUGGUAGGCAGGCAUCUCCUGACCAGCCACAUCCCUGGGCCUUCUGCUUUCAAAUACAGCCACUGCUCCCUGCUCAUCAUUGUGUUCUGGGGCUUUUGUUUGUUUGUUUACUCUAGGGUUUGGGGAGGGAGCUCAGCACUGGAGCCUUUGCCACUCUGCCCCAGCACCAAAAACCUCUUUUCUCAUGAGUUACCAAGAUGUGUGUUACAUGUCUACAAUUUAGAUUUUUUUAAAAGUGAAUUUGUAGGGGGCUGGGGAUUUAGCUCGGCAGCAUCAGUGCCUGCCUUGCAAGUGUGCAGUCGUGAGUUUGAUCCCCGGUACCGAUAAAAAAGACAAAAAAAAAAAAGUGCAUUUGUAUUAUCCUCUAAAUAAAUAGUUGCAAAUCCUUACAAUAGUUUUGCCUGUUCCGUAAGCUUGUAUAAAUUAAUUCCUGGGGUGCUUUUGUUCUUGUUUCCCACAAUUUGUAUAUCCAUUAACAGACAUCUGCUUUGUUUCGAGUUUAGGGGACUGUUAAUAAAAUGAUUAUGGACAUUUUCACGA